RNAcentral lists this ribosomal RNA (208 nucleotides) under uncultured bacterium. RNAcentral describes it as "partial 16S ribosomal RNA". It matches the Rfam family "Bacterial small subunit ribosomal RNA", at positions 1295 to 1500 of the family's 1533-position model. The record is from RNAcentral.
GGAUUGUAGGCUGAAACUCGCCUACAUGAAGCUGGAGUUGCUAGUAAUCGCGAAUCAGCAUGUCGCGGUGAAUACGUUCCCGGGCCUUGUACACACCGCCCGUCACACCAUGAGAGUUGGCAAUACCCAACGUACGUGAUCUAACCCGCAAGGGAGGAAGCGUCCUAAGGUAGGGUCAGCGAUUGGGGUGAAGUCGUAACAAGGUAGC